UGAUAAGAUAGUUUAGUUUGUAAAAUUCUUGCUUUACGCGCGAGGGAGGAGGUUUAUGUCUCUGUUAUCAU
This 71-nucleotide transfer RNA is filed under the name Uvitellina sp. SSS-2019. Its description in RNAcentral is "tRNA-Val". The record is from RNAcentral. Lineage: Eukaryota; Metazoa; Platyhelminthes; Trematoda; Plagiorchiida; Cyclocoelidae.